CAGCCGCCACGGGAACACGGAGGGAGCUAGCGUUGUUCGGAAUUACUGGGCGUAAAGCGCACGUAGGCGGCUUUGUAAGUUAGAGGUGAAAGCCUGGAGCUCAACUCCAGAAUUGCCUUUAAGACUGCAUCGCUUGAAUCCAGGAGAGGUGAGUGGAAUUCCGAGUGUAGAGGUGAAAUUCGUAGAUAUUCGGAAGAACACCAGUGGCGAAGGCGGCUCACUGGACUGGUAUUGACGCUGAGGUGCGAAAGCGUGGGGAGCAAACAGGAUUAGAUACCCCUGUAGUCCCUGUCUCUUAUAA
This 301-nucleotide ribosomal RNA is filed under the name uncultured bacterium. RNAcentral's name for it is "partial 16S ribosomal RNA". It matches the Rfam family "Bacterial small subunit ribosomal RNA", at positions 509 to 809 of the family's 1533-position model. The record is from RNAcentral.